This 245-nucleotide ribosomal RNA is filed under the name uncultured bacterium. RNAcentral describes it as "partial 16S ribosomal RNA". It matches the Rfam family "Bacterial small subunit ribosomal RNA", at positions 524 to 765 of the family's 1533-position model. The record is from RNAcentral.
UACGUAGGGUGCAAGCGUUAAUCGGAAUUACUGGGCGUAAAGCGUGCGCAGGCGGUUUUGUAAGUCUGUUGUGAAAUCCCCCGGGCUCAACCUGGGAAUGGCGAUGAAGACUGCAAGGCUAGAAUCUGGCAGAGGGGGGGGUAGAAUUCCACGUGUAGCAGUGAAAUGCGUAGAGAUGUGGAGGAACACCGAUGGCGAAGGCAGCCCCCUGGGUCAAGAUUGACGCUCAUGCACGAAAGGCGUGG